RNAcentral lists this long non-coding RNA (498 nucleotides) under Manacus vitellinus (golden-collared manakin). RNAcentral's name for it is "lncRNA (ENSMVIG00005009246.1)". The record is from RNAcentral. Lineage: Eukaryota; Metazoa; Chordata; Aves; Passeriformes; Pipridae.
CCAAAAAUAGGGAUUUUUAGGGCUUUUACCCCCGGAAUUCCCAGUAAUUCCCAGUGAUUCCCUGUCAUUCCCGGCACAGAAUCCCGGGAUUCUCUGGCGCCGCUGCGGGAGCAGCUGGAGCAGCUGCGGCGGGAGCAGAGCCAGGUCCUGGAGGAGACCCGGAACCUCUCAGGAAUCCUGUGCCCGUCCUGCCCCCCCGGCUGGGAGCAGUUUUCCAGGACCUGCUACUUCUUCUCCUCCAGCACCAAAUCCUGGCACGAUUCCAGGGAUUCCUGUGCCCAAUUCCAGGCCCACCUGGCCGUGGUCGACUCCGAGCAGGAAAAUCAAUUCCUGGCCAUCCACGUUCCGGAGCGGCGCCAGUUCUGGCUGGGCCUGACGGACGAGCCCAGCGAGGGCUCCUGGCACUGGGUCACCGGGGGGGCCCUGCAGCUCCAGUUCUGGAACAGCGGCGAACCCAACGACGUCGGCCACCACGGCGAGGACUGCGCCGGGAUCUAC